AAGAGUUGCAGUUUCACUCAUGUCUUGUUCCACAACCAAGGCACUCUCUCGAGUCCACCAUGAAUUCUCAAAGUUCAGACCUUUUCCUCUUCUGGGUUCCUAUCAUUUUUCCUCAAAAGGCUCAAGACUAGAUGAUACAGGCAAAAACCAAGCACAAUUCUAUGAAUUGGAGAAGAGCAUAUAUACAUUUUUAACCAUAGACCGUUGGGAGUCCUUGAACCACAUGGAUUACAAGUUAGCUUCUUUGAGGCAAGUUCAUGGAAGGCUAGCUUUGAAAUUUCUCAACUUUGUUGUCAAGCAACCUGGUUUGGAACUCAAUCAUCUUACUCAUAUGUUUUCAAUAACUACUCAUGUGCUUGUUAGAGCUAGAAUGUAUGACUAUGCUAAAUCGAUGUUGAGGCAGGUAUGUAAGAUGGGUGUUGGCCCAAGGUCUGUUUUUGGUGCUUUGAUGGAUACAUACCCUCUUUGCAAUUCAAACCCUUCAGUUUUCGAUCUACUAAUAAGGGUUUAUUUGAGAGAUGGAAUGAUCGAUGAUGCUUUGGAGACUUUUAAUUUGAUGUGUUCUCGAAAAUUUAAGCCAUCCGUUUAUACUUGUAAUAUGAUGUUAGGUUCCAUGGUGAAAGAUACAAGAGUUGGGUCGGUUUGGUCAUUCUUCAAGGAAAUGCUUGGCUGGAGGAUUUUUCCUAAUACCGCUACUUUUAAUAUACUGAUCAAUGUUUUGUGUGUCGAAGGGAAGCUUAAGAAAGCCCGUUAUUUGUUGAGAAAGAUGGAAGACAAUGGUUAUGUUCCAACUAUAGCUACUUACAAUACUUUGCUCAAUUGGUUUUGCAAGAAGGGGAGAUAUAAAUUAGCCUUUGAGCUGAUUGAUCAGAUGCAGUCCAAGGGUAUUGAAGCAGAUGUUUGUACAUAUAAUAUGCUUAUUCACGAUCUGUGUAGAAACAACAGAAGUGCGAAAGCUUACUUACUGUUAAAAAAGAUAAGAAAGAGAAGCAUAUCUCCCAAUGAGGUUACCUAUAACACUCUUAUUAACGGGUUUGUCAAGGAGGGAAAGAUUGGAAUUGCUACUCGGGUUUUUGAUGAGAUGUCAAAUUUUAAUAUUUCGCCAAAUCUGGCUUCUUACAAUGCUUUGAUUGAAGGGCAUUCUCAUGAGGGUAAUUUUGAAGAAGCUUUAAGACUUAUGGAUAUGAUGGAACAAGUGGGAUCUCAACCUAAUGAAGUCAGUUAUGGAGCCCUUUUAAAUGGGUUGUGCAAGCAUGCCAAAUUUGACCUAGCAAGAAGAAUUUUUGAGAGAAUGAGAACAAAUGGGAUGGGUUUCAGUUGUGUACUAUACACUGAGAUGAUUGAUGGACUAUGCAAAAACGGGUUUUUGAAAGAAGCUAUACAGAUGCUUCAUAAGAUGUCUGAGGAGGGUGUGGCUCCUGGUAUUAUCACAUUUUCUGUGCUUAUAAAUGGAUUUUAUGGGGCUGGAAAGAUAAAAAAUGGGAAGGAAGUUAUAUGUAAAAUGUAUAGAGCUGGAUUUACACCUAACAAUGUCAUUUACUCCACAUUAAUCUACAAUUUUUGUAAGAUGGGAUGCAUCACAGAAGCAUUGAAAAUUUACAGAAUUAUGAAUUGCAGUGGCCAAUCUGCUGAUCAUUUUAUUUGUAACAUUUUGGUUGCUUCUCUUUGUAGAGAUGGAAAAGCAAGAGAGGCUGAGGAUUUCAUGCGUCACAUGAGUAGGAUUGGUCCUAACCCUAACUCCGUUACAUUUGAUUGUCUUAUAAGUGGCUAUGGAAAUUUGGGUGAUGGGCUGAAAGCAUUUUCUUUGUUUGAUGAGAUGGUUCUAUUAGGUAAUAGUCCCAGUUUUUUCACAUAUGGCAGCCUACUUAAAGGACUAUGCAAGGGUGGAAAUCUGGUAGAGGCAAAGAAAUUUUUGGGCAAGCUGCACUACAUUCCUUCUGCUGUGGAUAAUGUUGUCUACAACACUAUACUUGCCGAGUCCUGCAAAUCAGGGACUAUGUGGGAGUCAGUGGUUCUUUUUGAUGAGAUGGUUCAGUUUGGUCUUCUUCCUGAUAGUUACACGUAUAACAGCCUUAUCAAUGGGUUAUGUAGAAAGGGAAAAAUUGCUGCUGCCCUUCUAUUUUUGGGGAAACUGAUGGGGCAAGGAGCUUUUUCCCCAAAUCUGGUUACAUACACCUGUUUAGUUGAUGGUCUUUUCAAGGCUGGCCAAUCAAGGGCUGCUUUUUAUUUUUAUGAAGAGAUGGAGCAGAAAGGCCCAUAUCUUGAUGUUCUUGCUUUUAAUGUUGCUAUAGAUGGAACAUCAAGGAUGGGAAAAAUGGGGAAGGCAAAUAAUCUGUUUUCCACAAUGAGAAGCAACGGUUUAUGCCCCAAUUUGCCUACAUAUAAUAUUCUGUUGCACGGAUAUUCUAAGAAAAAAGAUAUACAGAUGUGCUCUGUUCUUUUUAAACUCAUGAUCAGCAGUGGCCUUUUGCCUGAUAGAGUAACAUCCCAUUGUCUCAUUCUUGGAUUUUGCAAGUCAGGCAUGUUGGAUGUAGGUAUUGAAAUCUUGAAAAAGAUGAUAUCUAGAGGGGUUGAAGUUGAUCGAUUUACAUUUAACAUGCUUAUCAGCAAGUGCUCUGAAAGUGGUGAGACAGGAAAGGCCUUUAAUCUGGUUGAUAUUAUGAACUUGUUGGGAAUAAUUCCUGAUGCAGAGACCUAUAAUGCCAUCAUUAAUGUGCUCAACAGAAAUCUUGCUCUCCAAGAAUCUCGUAUUGUUUUGCACGAAUUGGCUCAGAAGGGUUUCCUUCCCAAGGGUAAACAAUAUAUUACAUUGAUUAAUGCUAUGUGUAGAGUUGGGAAUUUGAAAACAGCAUUCGAUCUGAAGGAUGAAAUGGCAUCACUUGGUAUCACUUCAUGUGAUGUUGCUGAGAGUGCUAUUGUUCGAGGACUCGCCCUAUGUGGGAAGGUUGAAGAAGCAAUGUUGGUUCUCGAUAACAUGCUCCGGAUGCGACUUGUUCCAACUGUUGCGACAUUUACAACAGUUAUGCACAUGUUCUGCAAAGGAAGUAAAAUUGCCGAGGCUCUAAAGUUAAGGAAUAAAAUGAAACUUUGUGGUCUGAAGCUUGAUGUUGUUGCUUACAAUGUCAUCAUUUCAGGCCUUUGUGCUGAUGGGGAUGUAGCUGCCGCUUUCGAACAUUAUCAAGAGAUGAAACAAUAUAGUCUGUGGCCCAAUGCCACUACUUAUACUGUUCUAGUUAAUGCCAUUCUCACUGAGGGGAGUAGCCCCUUUACCGGUGAUGUGCUUUUGAAGGACUUAAAGGGGAGGGGAAUCAUAUCAUGUGAUUGGGAUGGAAGUGCCGAGCAGAUUCACAGGGCAUUGAUGAUUGCCAUGAAAAGGUUGAAGUACUUGCAGCAAAAUAAGAGAAAAUAGUAUUGAAAAAAAAUUAGGAAUGCAAUGCAAUGUGGUUGUGACAAAAAUCUAGACCCUUUUUUUCUGGAGGUCUGCUUACUGAUGAAUGUCAAAUGGAACUCCUGCUACUCAACCAGUCAUGACACUCUGACUUGGUCCAAUUCAUUUUCCUUCCUUUUUGGAUAUCAUGGAACCGCAAAGCAUGGUAUUCAGAGGUAGACAGCGAUUUACUUCUAUGUGUCAAAAUAGGACUGCAACCUAUGGAGAUACAUCAUGUAAAAGACUUACAAUUUUAAGUCAUUCCCGGUAUUGCCAACAUGAGUUGCUGUGUAACUGUGUGUAAAGGGUACGGGGCACGGACCACGGUAAAAGAGGCAAAGAACAAAUUUUCAGCAGCUGGUAGCCAUUUGUCUCAAGGUGCCUCAAGCUGUACAGACACGAUUUAAAUUUUCCCAUUUAAAAAUAUUUUAAAAGGAAAAAUUCCUGUUUUUGGAUUGUUCUGCCAUCUGAUUUCUGGAGAUGCACCCCUUGUUUUUCGUCUUGUUCAUUCAGGACCUAACCAAUCAGAUAGAGUUUAUUGAUUUAGCUUUGUUCCUCAUCAAGAAGAGUGCUGGGAACAUAUUUAGAAGAUAGAACUGUGUCCUUGCUGUAUCCGUGGAAAGGUAAAACUUCACAGCUCGUCACGUGCUACAUACGCCUCGGGAAGAUCAUGAACUUCCAGCAAGUACUCCGCAAAUCAAGGUGUCGUAAGCGAAAGCUUAUCCUAAAACUUCAUCUAUAUGGUUCUUACCCUUGGAAAUCUUUCUUCAUCAACACAAUGCUCUGUCAUGAUUUUUCCGGAGAACAAGGAUUCCUUAUGGCUAGCAGCUCAAUAAAGAUGGUGGGGGGCGAAAAAACAGCUCCCUCAAUGCAUGAUGAAGCUGCUCGUUUAGCGAGCCUAAUCAAUCCAUGCUUGGUGAGUUCUGUCAGUAAAUUUUGUUGAUUGGGGUACCCUUUCUUUAGAUUUCCCAUGUUACAAAAAUGUUGUGUACUGCUCUUGGCAUGGCAGACAGAAUCUAGCAACAUGAACAAGGAUAUGCUCCACUGUAAUUGACUUUGUAAUAGUUUAUUGGUUGCUGUAAUAUAUGUAGUUUUCUUGAA
This is a non-coding RNA of Theobroma umbraticum, 4528 nucleotides long. The record is from RefSeq and is a predicted model, not a curated record. NCBI's taxonomy places the organism in Eukaryota, Viridiplantae, Streptophyta, Magnoliopsida, Malvales, Malvaceae.